This is a long non-coding RNA of Esox lucius (northern pike), 2246 nucleotides long. Lineage: Eukaryota; Metazoa; Chordata; Actinopteri; Esociformes; Esocidae. The record is from Ensembl.
GGUAAGUUCAGGUAUAUAAAAAGCAUGCAUAGAUAAAACCUGCUAAACCCACUGGGAAAAGAAAAUAGUCACGAGUCUUACAGAAGGAGAUCAACCGGAUUGGCAACAGUUAUUCGUUGCCAUCAUUGCAAUUGGAACCCAGGUGUCUUCUCAGCUGUCCCGAUCCCAGCGUCAUGGUCAGUUGACCUACCGAGAAAACUACCAUGACAAGGGUCAGACUCUCUGAAGAACAUGGCUCUACUCUACAAUGACACGGAAAGACCGAAACCUCCACAAAACAAGAUUCUGCCUUCAGGGGUCCAUUUCAUCUUCAUGUUUCUUAUUCUCUCAGCCCAAUUAGGUCAAUAUAUAUGGAAAGACAAGGGUUUGACACCGGACCUCAUUCCUUUUGAACACUGAGGGGACUAUUGAAGUUAGGGGCAAUUGGACAGUACAAGCGUGUGAGGUAAAUGGUUAAAACACCAUCAUAUCCUACUUUUAAGUCGCCCCAGAAAUCGAAUUCCUCUGAUGUUUUCAAUAAUGGACCGGGGGAAAUGACCGGUACCCAGGUGCCACCCUUAACCCUGCUGAAAAUAGACAUAUGUAAAAACCAAUGGUUUAGCCCCCUGUAGGGGCUAAUGAUGUCCCUUUUAACGUUGGUCUUCUUUUCAUCCGCAUACUCUCUGGGCCAUGCUUAGAGGGGUCUACCAUCACGGAUGUACUCUACCACAGGGGAAGCUAAAAAAUGAACACAUGCACAUGAACACAUGCACACACACACACACACACACACGCAAACAGUGCAGUCAAGGACAAAGUGGAGAAGGAAGCAGGGGAGCGCUCAGCCUAGUUUCUCAAAACUCUUCUGAUGAGACAAGACACUCCCUCUGUCACUGUGAUGUCUCCCAUUCCAGUGUUUCCGUAGAAACUUGAGAGGCUACAGCUCAUCUGGUACACUGCAUUCUCAGUGUUCUAUUCAGCAGUGGCACAGUUGAAUAGAGAAAUGAAUUAGCAGUCCGUCCAUUGAAUGUCCUCCAUUAGAAUUAAUUUAAGUGUGCUGCAUGCUCUGCAAAGGGUUAAAUGAAUAGCUAGGUAACCUGGGAAACGAGCACUCUGGUCCUGGCAAGAGACAGUGGGAUAUAGAACAGGUUGAGUGAAGUUCAAAGGGCCCUCUAUUUCAAGUGCAUUAUACUGUAACUCUUCCUCUUACAAUCAAGGAUCUCUGAAUGUCGAAUGGAUUUCAUAUGUAUGCAAAUGCUUAUCUCCAAACCUGGACAGCGUAGCAAUACCUACAAGGAAGAGAAAAAUAAAGAUUCCCCUCAUGACAAUAAUGAAGAAAUGGGAAAGAGGUGUGCUUUUAUGGUUUAGACCAGUGGGUUAGUGGCUCAGACAAAAUAUUGGCAGAGAUUACAUAUUGUACAUACAGUCCUGAUAAGUUUUUGUACUCAAAAGAUAUCCCAGAAUGCAGUGAAAGGUUGGAAUAGAACGUUCUAAAAGGAGGGCCUAGAGUAGGGUUCUUCUAAAAGGGGAAAUAACGUUUUAGGGAACCUGGGUCAUCCUUUAUAAUAAUUUAUUAAGUCCCUGAUCAAUGAUUGAUAACAUUACUUAGAGCAAUGACUCAAAACAACAUCAAAUCACUGACCACAUAGAACAACUACCACACAACCAUACUCCAGCCUAGUUACUGUGAAUGGGGACAACAAUGAUGUCUGGGAAUGAACUGAUGAAGAAGAGAAGGAGAGAAAGAUAGCCUAACUAAAUACCUUCAUCUAAUCCCUACUUCUGUGACUGACAUUUACACCAUUAUAUCAUCAACAAUCACAACAGUCAUUGCCACAAACAGGAAAACCUCAAGACUGGAAUGAGAAACAUCCAGUGAGUAACUUACUUUGUUCUCAAGACUGGCGUGAUGGGAGCCAAGAUGUAUUCGUUUCUGGCAGAUAGAAAACAAGGCCAAUUUCCUAAUCUAUUUCCAUUCAGCCUCAUUAAACUUUAAUAAAUACAGAACUAUUUAUCAUCACACAGGCCAUUUGGUCGUCAUGUUCUACAGAUGUACUAGAGGAUAAUUCUAAAGCUUUCCGAAUUAAUCUGACUAGAAGACUUGUCCUAGACAAAGCUUCCAAACCUUUUUUUACCCCAAAACUUUUAUCUGCAUCAUGGAAAAUAGUGAACUCUCCACACACGCAGGCACAUAACACAAACCUUCUAUAAACGGAAGCUCAUGUUGAGCACAGCAGUAAUCUCUCUGACAGAUGCCAAAGUUAAAC